Molecule: ribosomal RNA, 468 nt
Filed under: uncultured bacterium
Lineage: Bacteria
Description: partial 16S ribosomal RNA
Rfam family: Bacterial small subunit ribosomal RNA
Source: RNAcentral
GACGAACGCUGGCGGCGUGCUUAACACAUGCAAGUCGAACGGAAAGGCCCUGCUUUUGUGGGGUGCUCGAGUGGCGAACGGGUGAGUAACACGUGAGUAACCUGCCCUUGACUUUGGGAUAACUUCAGGAAACUGGGGCUAAUACCGGAUAGGAGCUCCUGCUGCAUGGUGGGGGUUGGAUAGUUUCGGCGGUUGGGGAUGGACUCGCGGCUUAUAAGCUUGUUGGUGGGGUAGUGGCUUACCAAGGCUUUGACGGGUAUCCGGCCUGAGAGGGUGGCCGGCCACAUUGGGACUGAGAUAGGGCCCAGACUCCAACGGGAGGCAGCAGGGGGGAAUAUUGCACAAUGGGCGGAAGCCUGAGGAAGCAACGCCGCGUGCGGGAUGACGGCCUUCGGGUUGUAAACCGAGUUCGCCUGUGACGAAGCGUGAGUGACGGUAAUGGGUAAAGAAGCACCGGCUAACUACGUG